AAAAAAAAAAAAAAAAAAAAAACUUGAUACACUUUAAAACUGUAGUGAACAAAUUAUUAGUGAAUUUAAAAGAAAAAAAAAUUGAAUUUUUAAGUAGGUUAUAUUUGUUUCUUAAACAAAUAUAAUAAAUUACCAAACUCCGAUAAAAUCAUAAAUCAUCAUAAUGUGAUUGAAAAGAAUAAAACUAGUUUAUCUAAUAUAUUUAGGGCAAACAAAAAUCAUCGGAAUCCGUAUAAUAUAUUUUAAUGUAAAACAUUAUUAUUCCGAUACUGUAAAAAAAAAAAAAAAAUAAUAAAUAAACUCUUGGGAAAUUAAAUAUCCGAUUUCACGAACCGACAUCCGAGUACCUACAUUAAAAUGUGUUUUUACGUCUCUGUUAUUUGACAUUUUAUUUUAUGAAUUUAUUGCCGAAAAAUUGGUUGAAAUCAUUAUUAUUACUGUUAUUGUUGUUGUUGUUGUUGUUAUUUUCUAGGGUCAGAUUUGAAUUUCGAAACAUAAUAUUGCGCGCGUUUUAAAACGCUGGUCGCGGACUAUGUUUGUUCGACGGUAUGCGUACGCUUACCGAGGGAUUCACUUUUUCCGCAAAAAAAAAAAAAAAAAAAAAAUGUAAUUGUUUUCGAGGAUUAGAGGUAGUCUCGCGGCGCACUAGUGUCGAGUUGAAUUUAAACCUUAUCGUUUUCAACCGUAUGACUAUACUUGUUGUACGAGCGCAGUCCCGACGCACG
Cinara cedri is the source of this 725-nucleotide non-coding RNA. Lineage: Eukaryota; Metazoa; Arthropoda; Insecta; Hemiptera; Aphididae. The record is from the annotation of a GenBank genome assembly.